CAAUAGCGUAUAUUAAAGUUGUUGCAGUUAAAAAGCUCGUAGUCGCAUUUCUGGCGAGAGGAAUUGGUCCGACAUUUAUUGUGGGUACUCGAUUCUCUCUCGCCAUCCUUGAGUGGUCCGUUCUGGCAUUUAGUUGUCGGAGCGUCAGCCGCUCAUCGUUUACUGUGAGAAAAUUAGAGUGUUCAAAGCAGGCUUAUGCCGUUGAAUAUAUUAGCAUGGAAUAAUAAGAUAGGACCUCGGUGCUAUUUUGUUGGUUUGCGCACAGAGGUAAUGAUGAACAGGGACAGUUGGGGGUAUUUGUAUUUCGUUGUCAGAGGUGAAAUUCUUAGAUUUACGAAAUGACAAAACUAACUGCGAAAGCAAUUUACCAAGGAUGUUUUCAUUGAUUCAAGAACGAAAGAUAUGGGGGAUCGAAGACGAUUAGAU
This 426-nucleotide ribosomal RNA is filed under the name uncultured eukaryote. RNAcentral's name for it is "bacterial SSU rRNA". It matches the Rfam family "Eukaryotic small subunit ribosomal RNA", at positions 592 to 1013 of the family's 1831-position model. The record is from RNAcentral.